Molecule: unclassified non-coding RNA, 152 nt
Filed under: plant metagenome
Description: partial contains small subunit ribosomal RNA and internal transcribed spacer 1
Rfam family: Eukaryotic small subunit ribosomal RNA (bases 1-46)
Source: RNAcentral
AAGUCGUAACAAGGUUUCCGUAGGUGAACCUGCGGAAGGAUCAUCACUGUGAUUUAGUACUACACUGCGUGAGCGGAACGAAAACAACAACACCUAAAAAUGUGGAAUAUAGCAUAUAGUCGACAAGAGAAAUCUACGAAAAACAAACAAAA